GAUAUGGUGAGCUCAGUGGUUAAGACUUUGGACUUCUCAUCAGAAGGUUGUGAGUUCAAAUCCCAGCACUGCCA
Non-coding RNA from Pangasius djambal, 74 nucleotides. The record is from the annotation of a GenBank genome assembly. Lineage: Eukaryota; Metazoa; Chordata; Actinopteri; Siluriformes; Pangasiidae.